Molecule: ribosomal RNA, 500 nt
Filed under: uncultured bacterium
Lineage: Bacteria
Description: partial 16S ribosomal RNA
Rfam family: Bacterial small subunit ribosomal RNA
Source: RNAcentral
AUUGAACGCUGGCGGCAGGCCUAACACAUGCAAGUCGAGCGGCAGCGGGUCCUUCGGGAUGCCGGCGAGCGGCGGACGGGUGAGUAAUGCCUAGGAAUCUGCCUGGUAGUGGGGGAUAACGUUCGGAAACGGACGCUAAUACCGCAUACGUCCUACGGGAGAAAGUGGGGGAUCUUCGGACCUCACGCUAUCAGAUGAGCCUAGGUCGGAUUAGCUAGUUGGUGGGGUAAAGGCUCACCAAGGCGACGAUCCGUAACUGGUCUGAGAGGAUGAUCAGUCACACUGGAACUGAGACACGGUCCAGGCUCCUACGGGAGGCAGCAGUGGGGAAUAUUGGACAAUGGGCGAAAGCCUGAUCCAGCCAUGCCGCGUGUGUGAAGAAGGUCUUCGGAUUGUAAAGCACUUUAAGUUGGGAGGAAGGGCAGUAAGUUAAUACCUUGCUGUUUUGACGUUACCAACAGAAUAAGCACCGGCUAACUUCGUGCCAGCCGCCGCAGUAA